AAAAUCCAGCACCGGCACCAGCAAGCAAUUUCUGUUCACCCAAAAAGAAAUAAAUAAAAAAUAAAUUUAAACCUCAUCCCUCAAGAGUGUCUAUAAAGACACACCUCUCUCUCAUUUACGCGUCAUUUGAUUUCUCCAUUUACACAUUUGGCGUUCCAAACGAGGUGGCUUUUAGCAUAACAGUUAGCAAGAAAUCAAAACAAGUUAGCUAAUCAUUCGUCGAAGUUCAUAGAAAAUGGCUGAUGCAGAGGAUAUUCAGCCACUCGUUUGCGAUAAUGGAACUGGAAUGGUUAAGGCAGGAUUUGCUGGUGAUGAUGCUCCCAGGGCAGUUUUCCCGAGUAUUGUGGGUAGGCCCCGGCACACUGGUGUGAUGGUUGGGAUGGGACAGAA
Molecule: long non-coding RNA, 390 nt
Organism: Olea europaea var. sylvestris
Lineage: Eukaryota; Viridiplantae; Streptophyta; Magnoliopsida; Lamiales; Oleaceae
Exons: 3
Source: RefSeq, a predicted model, not a curated record